Molecule: ribosomal RNA, 420 nt
Filed under: Fusobacteriota bacterium
Lineage: Bacteria; Fusobacteriati; Fusobacteriota
Description: Fusobacteria bacterium partial 16S ribosomal RNA
Rfam family: Bacterial small subunit ribosomal RNA
Source: RNAcentral
UGGGGGAUAUUGCACAAUGGGCGAAAGCCUGAUGCAGCGACGCCGCGUGGGGGAUGAAGGCCUUCGGGUUGUAAACUUCUUUUGCUCUGAACAAGGCAUGCCUUUGGGGUGUGUUGAGUGUAGGGGUUGAUUAGCGCCGGCUAACUACGUGCCAGCAGCCGCGGUAAUACGUAGGGCGCGAGCGUUGUCCGGAAUUAUUGGGCGUAAAGGGCUUGUAGGUGGCUGGUUGCGUCUGUCGUGAAAGCUCAUGGCUUAACUGUGGGUUUGCGGUGGGUACGGGCUGGCUUGAGUGCCGUAGGGGAAGCUGGAAUUCCUGGUGUAGCGGUGAAAUGCGCAGAUAUCAGGAGGAAUACCGGUGGCGAAGGCGGAUCUCUGGGCUGUUACUGACGCUGAGGAGCGAAAGCGUGGGGAGCGAACAGG